UCGAUCAUACCACUAUGUAGACAUAUAACACAUUUUGUAAUUCAAGCAUUAAAACCAUUAGUCCUUUACAUACCGAAUUAUCAAAUAACUUAUCAAAGACACACAUAUAUAUAUCAUUACGUCUUAUCAAAUUCAUAUACCAAGCAUACCCCACGCCUUUACUAUGACCAAAAUUACUUAAACAUUGGAUCAUUAGCAUUAGAUCAAGCCAUUUUUGCAUGGCUAAAUAUAUAUAUACAAAAACUAAAUUAAAACUAGCCUAUACAUGCCACAUAGCCAAAAAUUCAAAGCUUUAAUUUACCGAAGCCAUAACCGGAUAGUGUGAUCACGACUCCAAUGUCUUCCAACCUGAACAAGUCUUUAGAACUCUAAAAACAUAAGAAAAACACACAGAGUAAGCUAUUACAGCUUAGUAAGUCAUAAGCAAAUAGAUAACUUAACAACAUUUAAUUGGUUACAACAAAAUCAAAUCAUGUUUUCAAUAUUCAUAUACAUUUCCAUAAUCGAAAAAUACAUUUAUCAAACACGUACUAUACAUCAAAUCCAUAUUUAACCAAAUACACAUAAGUUUAACAUUUGGCCGAAUGUAUAUAUAUAUAUCCAACAAUUUCAUGACAACCAAUAUAUGUACAUACUCACUAAUCACAAAGAUUCGAACGUUUAUAUGCUCAUCAAAUACAUUGAAACAAAUGUUCAUAUAUUUAUCCAUUACAUAUAACCAAAAUCAUAUAUAUAUAUACCCAAUGCAUAUAAUCACUUAAUUUAAACAGAUUCACUGGCACUUCACCUGCUAGGCUUAUAGCCUGAUUCAGUUCACCGGCACUUAGCCUGCUAGGCUUAUAGCCUGAUUCAGAUCACCGGCACUUAGCCUGCUAGACGUAAAGUCCGAAACAUUUCACCGGUAAUUAAUCUGAUUGGUACUAAGCUUUAAAAAAAAUCUCAAUUCACAGAAGUUGUAUCUCAUAAUUGUAUAUAGAAUCCACAUAAAAUUCAGCUCAAUAAUUUAUAAACUAUAUCUUUAAAUAACAUAGAUGUAUAAAGUUCAAACAUCAAUUCCAGCUCAAUAAUUUAAUUAUACAUCCAAACCUAUAUAUAUAACUUAAUGCAUUAAUCUACUACUAAUAUCAUAUAUUCAAUCAUCUUUUAAUAAUCCAACUAAUAAUUUCAUACUUUCAAUGCAAUUCAAGAACUUUACAUGAAUAUAUACUUGUAUAUUAGCAUAAUCGAACCUCAUGUAACCUUGUAUAAUUGUCAUACCUAAAUUCACUAUAAAAUCAUAUACGUGUAUGUAUACCUGUUCAUUCAAAUAUAAUAUAUAUAUAAUUGCCAACUCACAUAUACAAAUAUAAGUUACAUAUCUUAAUCAAAUCUAAGAGUUUAUACAUAUAUAUAUUUAUAUACAUAUAUUUGGACCUAAUGUACAUAUAUAUGUAUAUAUCAUACUUAUCUUGGAUUAAAACCAAGAAUUUAUACAUAUACAACAUUCAUACUUCCACUAAAUUCAAAAACUAUAUAUAUACAUAUGUAUAUAUAUUCGAUCAUUAUGUAUAUAAUUAUAAAUAUAUAUAUACAUAUUCAUACCUUUAUCUAAAUUCAAGGUUUAUUCAUGCUAUUACAUAUAUUUUUUAAUCUAUCAUAUACAAGUAUAAUUUCUUACCUAAUUUCAUUACAAUAGAUUUUCAUAUAUAUACAUGCCUAUCCGAAUCUCACCUUUACUUAUAUAAAAUUUAAACCUGUAAUUUAACUCAUGAACUUAUACAAGAUUAUACUUGUAUAUUCGAAACUAUCAAAUACUUAUAUAAAAUUUAUACUUAUACUUCAAAUUAUAAACAUUUAAUUACAGCUCAUCAAGUAUACAAUCGAUAUACAUGUAUAAAUAUUGAUUUAUUAACUUUUAAAUUGCUAAUAGACUUACCUCGGAUAUCGACGGACAUAGUCAACUACUUUCGACUUUUCCCGAUCUAAUUCCGUUUUCUUCUGUUCUUGAUCUAAAUAAGUUCAAAUUUAACUAAUUUAACCACAUAUUCAUUUAAUUAAAUCCAAAAACACAUAAAUGGGAAAAUUACACUUUUUCCCCUAACAUUUGACAUUUUUCACAAAUUAGUCCCUAUUUCACAAAAAAUACAAAAUAAACAAACUUUCCCUGCACAAUAGCUUGGCCGAAUAUGCACUAAGCUCAUAUAAAUCCAUGCAUGUCAUUUAUUUCAUAUUUUAGUCCCUCAAUUUAUUAUUUUUGCAAUUUAGCCUUAAUUACUCAAAAUCAUCAAAAAUUCAAUUUCAACAUAUAUAUAUCCAUUUUAUAUAUUUUAUUUUCUAUCAUUAAACAACAAAAUUACAAGCUUUCAACAAUGGCAAAACACAAAAUCAUCAUCAAAUUCAAAAAUUUAAGCAUGGUCGAGUAGUAUUCGAAACAACGAUCUCAAAAACAUAAAAAUCAUCAAAAACCGAAAUCGAAACAUACCUUAAUUUGCUUGAGCAAGGGCUGAAUACCUAGCUUGGUUUUCUUAUUUUCUUUCUCUUUUCAUUCGGCAC
This 2532-nucleotide long non-coding RNA is filed under the name Gossypium barbadense (sea-island cotton). RNAcentral describes it as "long non-coding RNA (GBAR_LNC017595)". Lineage: Eukaryota; Viridiplantae; Streptophyta; Magnoliopsida; Malvales; Malvaceae. The record is from RNAcentral.